RNAcentral lists this ribosomal RNA (2904 nucleotides) under Escherichia coli. RNAcentral describes it as "bacterial LSU rRNA". It matches the Rfam family "Bacterial large subunit ribosomal RNA". The record is from RNAcentral. RNAcentral also lists the same sequence under 1 other name. Lineage: Bacteria; Pseudomonadati; Pseudomonadota; Gammaproteobacteria; Enterobacterales; Enterobacteriaceae.
UUAAGCGACUAAGCGUACACGGUGGAUGCCCUGGCAGUCAGAGGCGAUGAAGGACGUGCUAAUCUGCGAUAAGCGUCGGUAAGGUGAUAUGAACCGUUAUAACCGGCGAUUUCCGAAUGGGGAAACCCAGUGUGAUUCGUCACACUAUCAUUAACUGAAUCCAUAGGUUAAUGAGGCGAACCGGGGGAACUGAAACAUCUAAGUACCCCGAGGAAAAGAAAUCAACCGAGAUUCCCCCAGUAGCGGCGAGCGAACGGGGAGCAGCCCAGAGCCUGAAUCAGUGUGUGUGUUAGUGGAAGCGUCUGGAAAGGCGCGCGAUACAGGGUGACAGCCCCGUACACAAAAAUGCACAUGCUGUGAGCUCGAUGAGUAGGGCGGGACACGUGGUAUCCUGUCUGAAUAUGGGGGGACCAUCCUCCAAGGCUAAAUACUCCUGACUGACCGAUAGUGAACCAGUACCGUGAGGGAAAGGCGAAAAGAACCCCGGCGAGGGGAGUGAAAAAGAACCUGAAACCGUGUACGUACAAGCAGUGGGAGCACAGAGCAAUCUGUGUGACUGCGUACCUUUUGUAUAAUGGGUCAGCGACUUAUAUUCUGUAGCAAGGUUAACCGAAUAGGGGAGCCGAAGGGAAACCGAGUCUUAACUGGGCGUUAAGUUGCAGGGUAUAGACCCGAAACCCGGUGAUCUAGCCAUGGGCAGGUUGAAGGUUGGGUAACACUAACUGGAGGACCGAACCGACUAAUGUUGAAAAAUUAGCGGAUGACUUGUGGCUGGGGGUGAAAGGCCAAUCAAACCGGGAGAUAGCUGGUUCUCCCCGAAAGCUAUUUAGGUAGCGCCUCGUGAAUUCAUCUCCGGGGGUAGAGCACUGUUUCGGCAAGGGGGUCAUCCCGACUUACCAACCCGAUGCAAACUGCGAAUACCGGAGAAUGUUAUCACGGGAGACACACGGCGGGUGCUAACGUCCGUCGUGAAGAGGGAAACAACCCAGACCGCCAGCUAAGGUCCCAAAGUCAUGGUUAAGUGGGAAACGAUGUGGGAAGGCCCAGACAGCCAGGAUGUUGGCUUAGAAGCAGCCAUCAUUUAAAGAAAGCGUAAUAGCUCACUGGUCGAGUCGGCCUGCGCGGAAGAUGUAACGGGGCUAAACCAUGCACCGAAGCUGCGGCAGCGACGCUUAUGCGUUGUUGGGUAGGGGAGCGUUCUGUAAGCCUGCGAAGGUGUGCUGUGAGGCAUGCUGGAGGUAUCAGAAGUGCGAAUGCUGACAUAAGUAACGAUAAAGCGGGUGAAAAGCCCGCUCGCCGGAAGACCAAGGGUUCCUGUCCAACGUUAAUCGGGGCAGGGUGAGUCGACCCCUAAGGCGAGGCCGAAAGGCGUAGUCGAUGGGAAACAGGUUAAUAUUCCUGUACUUGGUGUUACUGCGAAGGGGGGACGGAGAAGGCUAUGUUGGCCGGGCGACGGUUGUCCCGGUUUAAGCGUGUAGGCUGGUUUUCCAGGCAAAUCCGGAAAAUCAAGGCUGAGGCGUGAUGACGAGGCACUACGGUGCUGAAGCAACAAAUGCCCUGCUUCCAGGAAAAGCCUCUAAGCAUCAGGUAACAUCAAAUCGUACCCCAAACCGACACAGGUGGUCAGGUAGAGAAUACCAAGGCGCUUGAGAGAACUCGGGUGAAGGAACUAGGCAAAAUGGUGCCGUAACUUCGGGAGAAGGCACGCUGAUAUGUAGGUGAAGUCCCUCGCGGAUGGAGCUGAAAUCAGUCGAAGAUACCAGCUGGCUGCAACUGUUUAUUAAAAACACAGCACUGUGCAAACACGAAAGUGGACGUAUACGGUGUGACGCCUGCCCGGUGCCGGAAGGUUAAUUGAUGGGGUCAGCGCAAGCGAAGCUCUUGAUCGAAGCCCCGGUAAACGGCGGCCGUAACUAUAACGGUCCUAAGGUAGCGAAAUUCCUUGUCGGGUAAGUUCCGACCUGCACGAAUGGCGUAAUGAUGGCCAGGCUGUCUCCACCCGAGACUCAGUGAAAUUGAACUCGCUGUGAAGAUGCAGUGUACCCGCGGCAAGACGGAAAGACCCCGUGAACCUUUACUAUAGCUUGACACUGAACAUUGAGCCUUGAUGUGUAGGAUAGGUGGGAGGCUUUGAAGUGUGGACGCCAGUCUGCAUGGAGCCGACCUUGAAAUACCACCCUUUAAUGUUUGAUGUUCUAACGUUGACCCGUGAUCCGGGUUGCGGACAGUGUCUGGUGGGUAGUUUGACUGGGGCGGUCUCCUCCUAAAGAGUAACGGAGGAGCACGAAGGUUGGCUAAUCCUGGUCGGACAUCAGGAGGUUAGUGCAAUGGCAUAAGCCAGCUUGACUGCGAGCGUGACGGCGCGAGCAGGUGCGAAAGCAGGUCAUAGUGAUCCGGUGGUUCUGAAUGGAAGGGCCAUCGCUCAACGGAUAAAAGGUACUCCGGGGAUAACAGGCUGAUACCGCCCAAGAGUUCAUAUCGACGGCGGUGUUUGGCACCUCGAUGUCGGCUCAUCACAUCCUGGGGCUGAAGUAGGUCCCAAGGGUAUGGCUGUUCGCCAUUUAAAGUGGUACGCGAGCUGGGUUUAGAACGUCGUGAGACAGUUCGGUCCCUAUCUGCCGUGGGCGCUGGAGAACUGAGGGGGGCUGCUCCUAGUACGAGAGGACCGGAGUGGACGCAUCACUGGUGUUCGGGUUGUCAUGCCAAUGGCACUGCCCGGUAGCUAAAUGCGGAAGAGAUAAGUGCUGAAAGCAUCUAAGCACGAAACUUGCCCCGAGAUGAGUUCUCCCUGACUCCUUGAGAGUCCUGAAGGAACGUUGAAGACGACGACGUUGAUAGGCCGGGUGUGUAAGCGCAGCGAUGCGUUGAGCUAACCGGUACUAAUGAACCGUGAGGCUUAACCUU